This 468-nucleotide ribosomal RNA is filed under the name uncultured bacterium. Its description in RNAcentral is "partial 16S ribosomal RNA". It matches the Rfam family "Bacterial small subunit ribosomal RNA", at positions 28 to 507 of the family's 1533-position model. The record is from RNAcentral.
GACGAACGCUGGCGGCGUGCUUAACACAUGCAAGUCGAACGGAAAGGCCCUGCUUUUGUGGGGUGCUCGAGUGGCGAACGGGGGUGUAACACGCGAGUAACCUGCACUUGACUUUGGGAUAACUUCAGGAAACUGGGGCUAAUACCGGAUAGGAGCUCCUGCUGCAUGGUGGGGGUUGGAAAGUUUCGGCGGUUGGGGAUGGACUCGAGGGUUAUCAGCUUGUUGGUGGGGUAGUGGCGUACCAAGGCUGUGACGGGUAGCCGGCCUGGGAGGGUGGCCGGCCUCCUGGCGCCUGAGGUACGGCCCAGACGCCUACGGGAGGCAGCGGUGGGGAAUAUUGCGCAGUGGGCGGAAGCCUGAUGCAGCAACGCCGCGUGCGGGAUGAUGGGCUUCGGGUUGUAAACCGCUUUCGCCUGUAACGAAGCGGGAGUGACGGUAAUGGGUAAAAAAGCACCGGCUAACUACGUG